CGGACGGGUGAGUAACGCGUGAGAAUCUGCCCUCAGGAGGGGGAUAACAGUUGGAAACGACUGCUAAUACCCCAUAUGCCGAGAGGUGAAACGAAUUUCGCCUGGGGAUGAGCUCGCGUCUGAUUAGCUUGUUGGUGGGGUAAAGGCCUACCAAGGCUUCGAUCAGUAGCUGGUCUGAGAGGACGAUCAGCCACACUGGGACUGAGACACGGCCCAGACUCCUACAGGAGGCAGCAGUGGGGAAUUUUCCGCAAUGGGCGCAAGCCUGACGGAGCAACGCCGCGUGAGGGAUGAAGGCCUUUGGGCUGUAAACCUCUUUUCUCAAGGAAGAACAUCUGACGGUACUUGAGGAAUAAGCCACGGCUAAUUCCGUGCCAGCAGCCGCGGUAAUACGGGAGUGGCAAGCGUUAUCCGGAAUUAUUGGGCGUAAAGCGUCCGCAGGCGGCCGUUUAAGUCUGUUGUUAAAUCGUGGAGCUCAACUCCAUCACGGCAAUGGAAACUGUUCGGCUUGAGUAUGGUAGGGGCAGAGGGAAUUUCCGGUGUAGCGGUGAAAUGCGUAGAUAUCGGGAAGAACACCAGUGGCAAAAGCGCUCUGCUGGGCCAUUACUGACGCUCAUGGACGAAAGCCAGGGGAGCGAAUGGGAUUAGAUACCCCAGUAGUC
Molecule: ribosomal RNA, 662 nt
Filed under: uncultured bacterium
Lineage: Bacteria
Description: bacterial SSU rRNA
Rfam family: Bacterial small subunit ribosomal RNA
Source: RNAcentral